RNAcentral lists this ribosomal RNA (301 nucleotides) under uncultured bacterium. Its description in RNAcentral is "partial 16S ribosomal RNA". It matches the Rfam family "Bacterial small subunit ribosomal RNA", at positions 509 to 809 of the family's 1533-position model. The record is from RNAcentral.
CAGCCGCCGCGGUAAUACGGAGGGUGCAAGCGUUAAUCGAAAUUACUGGGCGUAAAGCGCACGCAGGCGGUCUGACAAGUCAGAUGUGAAAUCCCCGGGCUUAACCUGGGAACUGCAUUUGAAACUGUCAGGCUGGAGUCUUGUAGAGGGGGGUGGAAUUCCAGGUGUAGCGGUGAAAUGCGUAGAGAUCUGGAGGAAUACCGGUGGCGAAGGCGGCCCCCUGGACAAAGACUGACGCUCAGGUGCGAAAGCGUGGGGAGCAAACAGGAUUAGAGACCCCUGUAGUCCCUGUCUCUUAUAA